Molecule: ribozyme, 79 nt
Filed under: Aedes aegypti (yellow fever mosquito)
Lineage: Eukaryota; Metazoa; Arthropoda; Insecta; Diptera; Culicidae
Description: drz-agam-1 ribozyme
Rfam family: drz-agam-1 ribozyme
Source: Rfam by way of RNAcentral
UGCCCAGCAACUCCUAUCCCUACCUCCUCGAGGUACUGGCCGGUGGGAACUUUGGUCGUAUUAUAUAGGACAGGAAAGG